RNAcentral lists this ribosomal RNA (710 nucleotides) under Psychrobacter faecalis. Its description in RNAcentral is "bacterial SSU rRNA". It matches the Rfam family "Bacterial small subunit ribosomal RNA", at positions 727 to 1437 of the family's 1533-position model. Lineage: Bacteria; Pseudomonadati; Pseudomonadota; Gammaproteobacteria; Moraxellales; Moraxellaceae. The record is from RNAcentral.
UUCUGGCAUCAUACUGACACUGAGGUUCGAAAGCGUGGGUAGCAAACAGGAUUAGAUACCCUGGUAGUCCACGCCGUAAACGAUGUCUACUAGUCGUUGGGUCCCUUGAGGACUUAGUGACGCAGCUAACGCAAUAAGUAGACCGCCUGGGGAGUACGGCCGCAAGGUUAAAACUCAAAUGAAUUGACGGGGGCCCGCACNAGCGGUGGAGCAUGUGGUUUAAUUCGAUGCAACGCGAAGAACCUUACCUGGUCUUGACAUAUCUAGAAUCCUGCAGAGAUGCGGGAGUGCCUUCGGGAAUUAGAAUACAGGUGCUGCAUGGCUGUCGUCAGCUCGUGUCGUGAGAUGUUGGGUUAAGUCCCGCAACGAGCGCAACCCUUGUCCUUAGUUACCAGCGGUUUGGCCGGGAACUCUAAGGAUACUGCCAGUGACAAACUGGAGGAAGGCGGGGACGACGUCAAGUCAUCAUGGCCCUUACGACCAGGGCUACACACGUGCUACAAUGGUAGGUACAGAGGGCAGCUACACAGCGAUGUGAUGCGAAUCUCAAAAAGCCUAUCGUAGUCCAGAUUGGAGUCUGCAACUCGACUCCAUGAAGUAGGAAUCGCUAGUAAUCGCGGAUCAGAAUGCCGCGGUGAAUACGUUCCCGGGCCUUGUACACACCGCCCGUCACACCAUGGGAGUUGAUUGCACCAGAAGUGGGUAGCCUA